Molecule: ribosomal RNA, 484 nt
Filed under: uncultured bacterium
Lineage: Bacteria
Description: partial 16S ribosomal RNA
Rfam family: Bacterial small subunit ribosomal RNA
Source: RNAcentral
AUUGAACGCUGGCGGCAGGCCUAACACAUGCAAGUCGAGCGGAUGAAGGGAGCUUGCUCCUGGAUUCAGCGGCGGACGGGUGAGUAAUGCCUAGGAAUCUGCCUGGUAGUGGGGGAUAACGUCCGGAAACGGGCGCUAAUACCGCAUACGUCCUGAGGUAGAAAGUGGGGGAUCUUCGGACCUCACGCUAUCAGAUGAGCCUAGGUCGGAUUAGCUAGUUGGUGGGGUAAAGGCCUACCAAGGCGACGAUCCGUAACUGGUCUGAGAGGAUGAUCAGUCACACUGGAACUGAGACACGGUCCAGGCUCCUACGGGAGGCAGCAGUGGGGAAUAUUGGACAAUGGGCGAAAGCCUGAUCCAGCCAUGCCGCGUGUGUGAAGAAGGUCUUCGGAUUGUAAAGCACUUUAAGUUGGGAGGAAGGGAAGUAAGUUAAUACCUUGCUGUUUUGACGUUACCAACAGAAUAAGCACCGGCUAACUUCGUG